This 500-nucleotide ribosomal RNA is filed under the name uncultured bacterium. RNAcentral describes it as "partial 16S ribosomal RNA". It matches the Rfam family "Bacterial small subunit ribosomal RNA", at positions 30 to 523 of the family's 1533-position model. The record is from RNAcentral.
AUUGAACGCUGGCGGCAGGCCUAACACAUGCAAGUCGAGCGGAUGAGAGGAGCUUGCUCCUUGAUUCAGCGGCGGACGGGUGAGUAAUGCCUAGGAAUCUGCCUGGUAGUGGGGGAUAACGUUCCGAAAGGAACGCUAAUACCGCAUACGUCCUACGGGAGAAAGCAGAGGACCUUCGGGCCUUGCGCUAUCAGAUGAGCCUAGGUCGGAUUAGCUAGUUGGUGAGGUAAUGGCUCACCAAGGCGACGAUCCGUAACUGGUCUGAGAGGAUGAUCAGUCACACUGGAACUGAGACACGGUCCAGACUCCUACGGGAGGCAGCAGUGGGGAAUAUUGGACAAUGGGCGAAAGCCUGAUCCAGCCAUGCCGCGUGUGUGAAGAAGGUCUUCGGAUUGUAAAGCACUUUAAGUUGGGAGGAAGGGCAGUAAGUUAAUACCUUGCUGUUUUGACGUUACCAACAGAAUAAGCACCGGCUAACUUCGUGCCAGCAGCCGCCGUAA